UUGAACGCUGGCGGCAUGCUUUACACCUGCAAGUCGAACGGUAACAGGCCUUCGGGUGCUGACGAGUGGCGAACGGGUGAGUAAUGCAUCGGAACGUACCCAGAGGUGGGGGAUAACGCAGCGAAAGCUGUGCUAAUACCGCAUGUGAUCUGAGGAUGAAAGCGGGGGACCGAGCAGCAAUGUUUGGCCUCGCGCCUUUGGAGCGGCCGAUGUCGGAUUAGCUAGUUGGUGGGGUAAAGGCCUACCAAGGCGACGAUCCGUAGCUGGUCUGAGAGGACGACCAGCCACACUGGGACUGAGACACGGCCCAGACUCCUACGGGAGGCAGCAAUGGGGAAUUUUGGACAAUGGGCGCAAGCCUGAUCCAGCAAUGCCGCGUGCGGGAAGAAGGCCUUCGGGUUGUAAACCGCUUUUGGCAGGAACGAAACGGUGUCCGCUAAUACCGGGCGCUAAUGACGGUACCUGCAGAAUAAGCACCGGCUAACUACGUG
RNAcentral lists this ribosomal RNA (491 nucleotides) under uncultured bacterium. RNAcentral's name for it is "partial 16S ribosomal RNA". It matches the Rfam family "Bacterial small subunit ribosomal RNA", at positions 29 to 507 of the family's 1533-position model. The record is from RNAcentral.